RNAcentral lists this transfer RNA (71 nucleotides) under Loxodonta africana (African savanna elephant). It matches the Rfam family "tRNA". From Rfam's summary of the family: Transfer RNA (tRNA) molecules are approximately 80 nucleotides in length. Their secondary structure includes four short double-helical elements and three loops (D, anti-codon, and T loops). Lineage: Eukaryota; Metazoa; Chordata; Mammalia; Proboscidea; Elephantidae. The record is from Rfam by way of RNAcentral.
GCAGCGGUGAUUCAGUGGUAAAAUUCUCGCCUUCCACGCAGGAGACCUGGGUUUGAUUCCCGGCCAAGGCA